Long non-coding RNA from Alligator mississippiensis (American alligator), 4423 nucleotides. RefSeq lists it as uncharacterized. NCBI's taxonomy places the organism in Eukaryota, Metazoa, Chordata, Crocodylia, Alligatoridae. The transcript is spliced from 3 exons. The record is from RefSeq and is a predicted model, not a curated record.
AAACUCCAGUUUUGGUCCCAGCAGGGGCAUUGGCACACCCUAGUCAAAAUUCCCAGUCUUGGCUGCAGCUAACACCCAAUGCCUCUGUGGAAGGUUUAAAAACACCCUGACACAUGAAGCAGUAAUCAGUUGGAUACAAACUCUAACUGUGAUGUUGUAGCUAAGUCUAUGAAUCUAUUACUCCAGGAACUUUAAAAUAAUCAUGGAAAAUUCACAAUUUGCUCAUGACAGCAACACUGUAUGCCCCCACCUAGUCUGGAAGACCUCAUGUGUGCAUGGGGGAAUUGGGCUGGUCCUGUUGAGGGCUUUGUAUGUUAGAAAAAAAUUCCCAGGGGCCAUUGCACAGGGUCGAAUUGUUGUGGAACUCUGCAAACAAUUCAGUUGUUUAGUUUGCUUGUUAGUGUUAUUGCAUGAAAAUGUAACAGUGACAUUAAUUUACACACCCUUAGCAACUGAAAAAAACAGUGAUACACAUAUGAUGGCUGUAAACCCUGCCUAAUACGCCCACUGGCUUCAGCCCAAUGCAAGCAUAAUACUGCAAUGGUGAAGAGCUAGUGUCCAUACUUAUACCCCACUGCAAAAGAGUGGGGAAAAUGGAUGUUGCUGAUCUUAAAAACAUAGGUUUCCUAAUCUGGCCUAUGUUUUUGCCUUUCUGCAGCUGUUUCAGAAUGAUGUAAAUUGAAGUAUCUUUUUGGUUACUGUAGCAGUUUAGGGAAACAAUAUGCAUAAGCCAUCAUCGCACACUGACUAACCUUGUACUUUUAUUCUACCUCAGAUUCUGGCACCAUCUGUAGUGUGAAAACAUCCAUAAUUUGUCUAACACUGAUAUCUUUAAUCAAAAUCUGUUCAGCUCUCCUGGAAUUCCUCAUCAGCUCCACUACAAAUGCAAUGAGAUCAGGCACCCUCAACUGUUAUCUCUACGCUGUUCCCCUGAAUGUGGCUGCAGGUUUAAUGUAAUUUCAUUUCUAUUUAUCUCAACUAAGUUUAUAUUAUUAGACCUGGAUUACCCGUGAUUUCUGGGUGAAAUUAGUCUCUACUUAGCUGCCAUAGGGGAAUCCAGCAAUUGGGAUUUGACUUCCUGUAAGAGGCUUACAAAGCCUUAUUCCAGCUGUAUCAUUUUUGUUCUCCUCUUUCCUGGUUUGUUUUGCACAGGAUUUCUCCCUGGAGAACUGACGGUUAUCAUAGCAAAAGCACUGCAUAACCACCUAAGAAGGAGGUACCAGCGUACUUGUGAAUGCUGAGAUGCUGGGGCCAUGGUUUUUCUUCCCUAUGAGAACAGUUAAUCAGAGGAUGCCACUACUUGCUCAACCAAAGGCUGGUCUUCCUGGUCAGGCUAGAUUUUUCUCCAUGCAACAUAAUCUGCACUCUGGGAGAGAGAAGAUAGUGUAUUGUGGCUUAUGAAGUACACAAAGCUGGGUUCCUCAUAAACACGGCAAAAUCAAAGAAGAGGAUGCUUCUUCAUUUUACAAAAAUCUUCAACUCUCCAGAGAGUUUGGUGCUUAAGAAUCUCUGGCUAAGUGCAGACAUUUGGGGACAUUGGACAUUGAGGUUAGAUCAGGUUAAAAUGGCCACCCAGUCUAACUUAGUUCACCAGGUGCAGACCUUACAUUUAUAGACCCAGUCUUAGUGAUCAGAAAUCAAUUUAAACCCCAAACUAUCCAGAAGUUAUGUGCACAUGGGCUGUUCUUAAAAUGGUGGAACCUGGUCUAAGAUUGACUUGGAUCUCCCGCUUGUGAGCCUGGGCAUCAGUGUCACUGACGCCCAGGCUCGCAAGUGGGAGAAGUACGCCCUGCUGGCCGACAUCCUGAGGGGCCGUGGCUACGACAUGACGGUCGAUGCACUCAUUGUGGGAACGCUCGGAGCCUGGGACCCCAGCAACGAGAGUGUCCUGUGUGCCUGCCGUGUCUCCCACCGCAAUGCCAAGCUCGUGCGCUGCCUCAUGGUGUCCGACACCAUCCGUUGGUCCCGCAACAUCUACAUGGAACACAUCACGGGCCACCGCCAGUACUCCGACCCCACCAGAUGAACCGCCGCCAGACCAGACCCAGAGGGGACCGCCUGAACCCCCCCUCUGCACGCGAACCCCUUCCCUCUCCUUCCCCCUUCCCCCCACCCCCGGGCUUAGUUGGCUAACAUUGUAUCUCCUGUAACCUAGUUGUGUUUCCCUCCUCACCCUCAUCCUUCUAUUGUUAGUCCCUCACUCGGGUGACCUGUAUUUCCCUACCGGCUUUGUCAUCUUUUUUUGGAUUUACAAUCCUAAACAUCUACUAAUAAAACUUACUCACUCUAAGUUAGACUGGUGCAUGGAACUUCUGUACAGCUAUCUGUGAAACCCUAGGGCCAGGAAAGCCCAACUGCAACCCCAGGGCUGUGCUUUCCCUCCCCCCCUCCCGUCUCCCCCGCACCCCACUUGCUCCCUACCCUGUGGAUCAGCCAGCCCCAGCCCUGGCGCAUCAUACCUCCCAUCCUGCAAGCCGCUCUGGGUGCUGCCAGAUUUAUCAGCAUUCAUAGAAUCAUAGAAUCAUAGAAAGUUAGGGUUGUAAGGACAUCAGGAGGUCAUCUAGUCCAACCCCCUGCCCAAGCAGGACCAAAUAGAUCAUCCCAGCCAAAGCUUUGUCUAGCCGGGUUUUGAAAACCUCCAAGGAUGAAGCUUCCACCACCUCUCUGGGUAACCUGUUCCCGUGUUUUAUUACCCUCCUAGUGAGAAAAGCAUUCCUAAUAUGUAACCUAAACUUCCAUCACUGCAACUUGAGACUGUUGCUCCUUGUUCUGUCAUCUCCCACCACUGAGAACAGUCCAGCUCCAUCUUCUUUUGAACCCCGCUUCAGGUAGUUGAAGGCUGCUAUUAAUGUAGCAAAACCCCCAGUUUUUCUUUUUCUUUUUUUUAAUUUUAAAAUGCAUUCCCUCCCCUUCCCCAACCAUUUCUGACUUUUCUCUCCCUCUAUAUUCCCUAUACAUAAGUAUAAGUGAGCUCAAACUUAGGAUAUGCUUUAAACAUUUUUAUUUUGGUAGCAAGUUUUUGGUUUUGGAUAUCCAUUGUUUUAUAUUGUAUAAUUAUUAGGUUUGUAGUAAUUUUUACUGUUGUAUAUUGUAUUAUUAUCAUUUUUGUAUUGAUUUUUAUUGUUUCAUAUGAAUAUUGUAUGGUUUAGGCCUGUGUUUUUAAGUGAACCAAAGUCAUGUCAAGUUUCCAUUUUAUAUGUCAAGCCUCCAUCUUCUGUCCUCUGCCUGGGUGUCCCAUGUUGCAACAAUAUGAUUCAUUGUACCCCUCCCAUGUAAAUUGGUUCCCAGAUGAAUGAGAAUGAUUGGGAAUGAUUGAAAUACAAUGGUAGCAGGCCUCUACUGAAUGGCCUGUAAUGACUGGGCCAUCACCUCGCAUUGAUUCACCCAGGAACCAUGGACCUCACCCAGGAACAGAGACAAGACCAGCAUUUGAAAAACAUAAGAUCCAGCAGAACCAGCAACUCUAUCAUUGUACCCCACCAUUACAGACACCGGAAACUGCACAUCCCUGCAUGCAGCACACAUGCUCAGUACACCAGGGGCUGACCCUUGCCUGGGCAUGCCUCCUGUCAUUAGGGUCACACACAGUCUGCCCCUAUAAAAAGGGGCAGUGAAGACAGACCCAGUGGGAAUGCCAUUUCCAUACGGACCAGACCAGCUUCACGUCACUUAUCCAUCCCAGAGACCCUGCUAGCGACCCCUCUGGACAACACCGAGCUGAAGGAGACCCCAACUGGCCAUCAAGGAUCAACUUCCAGCUUGGGAUAGGUAGGUAUUACCUGCACAUCUCCUCCUACAAUGUGGACUCUCUCUCUCUCUCCUCCUGAACUUCAGUGGACUUCAGCCCCUGCACCAAGCCUCUUUAACCCCUGCUGCCAUUGUGUGUGCGUGCGUGCAUGCAUGUGUGUGGGUGCAAGGGAACAAAUUUGGCAUUGUGUCACCAUCUCCCCUGUUCAAUAAAACCACUGUCAUUUGCAACCCCGAGCUGGGUCAUGCUUUACUGAAUCCCAGUCCCUUCCCUAUCUGAAAUUCCAGCCUCAUUCUCUCUCUCUCUCUCAGCUCCAGUUCCCACCCUCUCUGCUAGUUUCCCGAUCUCCUCCCAAUUCCAUCUCCCCUUGUCUGCCACCUCUCAGCCUCUCCUUGCUUCCCUGCCACCUGCUGCUUUUCCUGUGAUUUUCUGCUGUCUGUCUCUCUGUUUUCAGGCUUCCCCCACACUUUCUGUAAUCCUCCCCCCUGCCCCCUGCAGCUUCCCAGCUCCACUUCGCUGUCCUGCAGCUUUCUCCAGCAUCCAGCACCUACUGCUGCUCCCUGCAACUUCUCUAGCUGCCCCAGAGCCAUCCUCUGGCUCCCCACACCCAGAGCUCCUCUUUAAUACCCACACUUUCCCUUAGUCCCAUUUUCCCUGUCCCCAUCUACCUUUUCA